Molecule: ribosomal RNA, 716 nt
Filed under: Salmonella enterica subsp. enterica serovar Kentucky
Lineage: Bacteria; Pseudomonadati; Pseudomonadota; Gammaproteobacteria; Enterobacterales; Enterobacteriaceae
Description: partial 23S ribosomal RNA
Rfam family: Bacterial large subunit ribosomal RNA
Source: RNAcentral
UGUGAGGUUAAGCGACUAAGCGUACACGGUGGAUGCCCUGGCAGUCAGAGGCGAUGAAGGACGUGCUAAUCUGCGAUAAGCGCCGGUAAGGUGAUAUGAACCGUUAUAACCGGCGAUUUCCGAAUGGGGAAACCCAGUGUGACUCGUCACACUAUCAUUAACUGAAUCCAUAGGUUAAUGAGGCGAACCGGGGGAACUGAAACAUCUAAGUACCCCGAGGAAAAGAAAUCAACCGAGAUUCCCCCAGUAGCGGCGAGCGAACGGGGAGGAGCCCAGAGCCUGAAUCAGCAUGUGUGUUAGUGGAAGCGUCUGGAAAGGCGCGCGAUACAGGGUGACAGCCCCGUACACAAAAGCGCAUGUGUUGUGAGCUCGAUGAGUAGGGCGGGACACGUGGUAUCCUGUCUGAAUAUGGGGGGACCAUCCUCCAAGGCUAAAUACUCCUGACUGACCGAUAGUGAACCAGUACCGUGAGGGAAAGGCGAAAAGAACCCCGGCGAGGGGAGUGAAAAAGAACCUGAAACCGUGUACGUACAAGCAGUGGGAGCCCCACCACUAAGCCAGUGGUGAACUCCACAUACGCAUCCUUUGCUGAAGGUGCGGUUAACGGAGCGCAAGCGACGUUCAACCUCAAAAGAAGCAGAGGGGGCUUAGUGGUGGGGUGACUGCGUACCUUUUGUAUAAUGGGUCAGCGACUUAUAUUCUGUAGCAAGGUUAAC